This 253-nucleotide ribosomal RNA is filed under the name uncultured bacterium. Its description in RNAcentral is "partial 16S ribosomal RNA". It matches the Rfam family "Bacterial small subunit ribosomal RNA", at positions 524 to 776 of the family's 1533-position model. The record is from RNAcentral.
UACGUAGGGGGCGAGCGUUGUCCGGAAUCAUUGGGCGUAAAGCGCGUGUAGGCGGCCCGAUUAGUCCGCUGUGAAAGUCCAGGGCUCAACCCUGGGAUGCCGGUGGAUACUGUCGGGCUCGAGUCCGGAAGAGGCGAGUGGAAUUCCUGGUGUAGCGGUGAAAUGCGCAGAUAUCAGGAGGAACACCAGUGGCGAAGGCAGCUCGCUGGGACGUGACUGACGCUGAGACGCGAAAGCGUGGGGAGCAAACAGG